This 253-nucleotide ribosomal RNA is filed under the name uncultured bacterium. Its description in RNAcentral is "partial 16S ribosomal RNA". It matches the Rfam family "Bacterial small subunit ribosomal RNA", at positions 524 to 776 of the family's 1533-position model. The record is from RNAcentral.
GACAGAGGUGCCAAGCGUUAGGCGGAAUCACUGGGCUUAAAGCGUGUGUAGGCGGGCGGGCAAGUACCUUGUGAAAUCCCACGGCUCAACCGUGGAACGGCUGGGUAUACUGCCUGUCUUGAGCCAGCUAGGGGCGACCGGAACAGACGGUGGAGCGGUGAAAUGCGUAGGUAUCGUCUGGAACGCCAAAGGUGAAAACAGGUCGCUGGGGCUGAGCUGACGCUGAGACACGAAAGCCAGGGGAGCGAACGGG